GUUUGGGUCGCUGGCGUUUGGAGUUUCGGCGAGGUGAAUCGCCGGUGUGGCUAGACGGCAACGGCUCAACUCGACUUGGGUAGAGGCGGAGCAAGGCGGACAGGCGGUUGCUGUGGCGUGCGUCGCUCGGAGCAGCUCGUUGGGUGGUGGGUGGAUCGCGCGAGCUCACGGGCAAAGGAACCUAAGUGGUAACGUAGCGAGG
This 202-nucleotide long non-coding RNA is filed under the name Eucalyptus grandis. Its description in RNAcentral is "long non-coding RNA (EGRA_LNC002160)". Lineage: Eukaryota; Viridiplantae; Streptophyta; Magnoliopsida; Myrtales; Myrtaceae. The record is from RNAcentral.